RNAcentral lists this ribosomal RNA (351 nucleotides) under uncultured bacterium. Its description in RNAcentral is "partial 16S ribosomal RNA". It matches the Rfam family "Bacterial small subunit ribosomal RNA", at positions 338 to 681 of the family's 1533-position model. The record is from RNAcentral.
CCUACGGGUGGCAGCAGUGGGGAAUAUUGCACAAUGGGGGAAACCCUGACGCAGCGACGCCGCGUGAGGGAUGAAGGUCUUCGGAUCGUAAACCUCUGUCAGCAGGGAAGAACGGUCACAGGGCUAAGCAGCAGUGAAUUGACGGUACCGGCAAAGGAAGCACCGGCUAACUCCGUGCCCGCAGCCGCGGUAAUACGGAGGGUGCGAGCGUUAAUCGGAAUGACUGGGCGUAAAGCGCUCGUAGGCGGUAUGUCAAGUCAAGGGUGAAAUCCCCGCGCUCAACGUGGGAACUGCCUUUGAAACUGGCAAACUGGAGUGUGUGUGAGGCUAGUGGCAUUCCCGGUGUAGGCG